AUUCGACCCUGAUAUCAGAGAGCAAAGACUCGCCAUUCCUGGGAUCAUCUCAGGAAUGGCGAGUCUUUGCUCUGUGAU
Molecule: microRNA precursor, 78 nt
Filed under: Marmota monax (woodchuck)
Lineage: Eukaryota; Metazoa; Chordata; Mammalia; Rodentia; Sciuridae
Source: RNAcentral